UAUGCGUUUUUACGGCCGCGGUCUUGC
Molecule: small RNA, 27 nt
Filed under: Bombyx mori (domestic silkworm)
Lineage: Eukaryota; Metazoa; Arthropoda; Insecta; Lepidoptera; Bombycidae
Description: ovarian small RNA-23944
Source: RNAcentral